GGUUAAGCGACUAAGCGUACACGGUGGAUGCCCUGGCAGUCAGAGGCGAUGAAGGACGUGCUAAUCUGCGAUAAGCGUCGGUAAGGUGAUAUGAACCGUUAUAACCGGCGAUUUCCGAAUGGGGAAACCCAGUGUGUUUCGACACACUAUCAUUAACUGAAUCCAUAGGUUAAUGAGGCGAACCGGGGGAACUGAAACAUCUAAGUACCCCGAGGAAAAGAAAUCAACCGAGAUUCCCCCAGUAGCGGCGAGCGAACGGGGAGCAGCCCAGAGCCUGAAUCAGUGUGUGUGUUAGUGGAAGCGUCUGGAAAGGCGCGCGAUACAGGGUGACAGCCCCGUACACAAAAAUGCACAUGCUGUGAGCUCGAUGAGUAGGGCGGGACACGUGGUAUCCUGUCUGAAUAUGGGGGGACCAUCCUCCAAGGCUAAAUACUCCUGACUGACCGAUAGUGAACCAGUACCGUGAGGGAAAGGCGAAAAGAACCCCGGCGAGGGGAGUGAAAAAGAACCUGAAACCGUGUACGUACAAGCAGUGGGAGCACGCUUAGGCGUGUGACUGCGUACCUUUUGUAUAAUGGGUCAGCGACUUAUAUUCUGUAGCAAGGUUAACCGAAUAGGGGAGCCGAAGGGAAACCGAGUCUUAACUGGGCGUUAAGUUGCAGGGUAUAGACCCGAAACCCGGUGAUCUAGCCAUGGGCAGGUUGAAGGUUGGGUAACACUAACUGGAGGACCGAACCGACUAAUGUUGAAAAAUUAGCGGAUGACUUGUGGCUGGGGGUGAAAGGCCAAUCAAACCGGGAGAUAGCUGGUUCUCCCCGAAAGCUAUUUAGGUAGCGCCUCGUGAAUUCAUCUCCGGGGGUAGAGCACUGUUUCGGCAAGGGGGUCAUCCCGACUUACCAACCCGAUGCAAACUGCGAAUACCGGAGAAUGUUAUCACGGGAGACACACGGCGGGUGCUAACGUCCGUCGUGAAGAGGGAAACAACCCAGACCGCCAGCUAAGGUCCCAAAGUCAUGGUUAAGUGGGAAACGAUGUGGGAAGGCCCAGACAGCCAGGAUGUUGGCUUAGAAGCAGCCAUCAUUUAAAGAAAGCGUAAUAGCUCACUGGUCGAGUCGGCCUGCGCGGAAGAUGUAACGGGGCUAAACCAUGCACCGAAGCUGCGGCAGCGACACUGUGUGUUGUUGGGUAGGGGAGCGUUCUGUAAGCCUGUGAAGGUGUACUGUGAGGUAUGCUGGAGGUAUCAGAAGUGCGAAUGCUGACAUAAGUAACGAUAAAGCGGGUGAAAAGCCCGCUCGCCGGAAGACCAAGGGUUCCUGUCCAACGUUAAUCGGGGCAGGGUGAGUCGACCCCUAAGGCGAGGCCGAAAGGCGUAGUCGAUGGGAAACAGGUUAAUAUUCCUGUACUUGGUGUUACUGCGAAGGGGGGACGGAGAAGGCUAUGUUGGCCGGGCGACGGUUGUCCCGGUUUAAGCGUGUAGGCUGGUUUUCCAGGCAAAUCCGGAAAAUCAAGGCUGAGGCGUGAUGACGAGGCACUACGGUGCUGAAGCAACAAAUGCCCUGCUUCCAGGAAAAGCCUCUAAGCAUCAGGUAACAUCAAAUCGUACCCCAAACCGACACAGGUGGUCAGGUAGAGAAUACCAAGGCGCUUGAGAGAACUCGGGUGAAGGAACUAGGCAAAAUGGUGCCGUAACUUCGGGAGAAGGCACGCUGAUAUGUAGGUGAAGCGACUUGCUCGUGGAGCUGAAAUCAGUCGAAGAUACCAGCUGGCUGCAACUGUUUAUUAAAAACACAGCACUGUGCAAACACGAAAGUGGACGUAUACGGUGUGACGCCUGCCCGGUGCCGGAAGGUUAAUUGAUGGGGUUAGCGCAAGCGAAGCUCUUGAUCGAAGCCCCGGUAAACGGCGGCCGUAACUAUAACGGUCCUAAGGUAGCGAAAUUCCUUGUCGGGUAAGUUCCGACCUGCACGAAUGGCGUAAUGAUGGCCAGGCUGUCUCCACCCGAGACUCAGUGAAAUUGAACUCGCUGUGAAGAUGCAGUGUACCCGCGGCAAGACGGAAAGACCCCGUGAACCUUUACUAUAGCUUGACACUGAACAUUGAGCCUUGAUGUGUAGGAUAGGUGGGAGGCUUUGAAGUGUGGACGCCAGUCUGCAUGGAGCCGACCUUGAAAUACCACCCUUUAAUGUUUGAUGUUCUAACGUGGACCCGUGAUCCGGGUUGCGGACAGUGUCUGGUGGGUAGUUUGACUGGGGCGGUCUCCUCCUAAAGAGUAACGGAGGAGCACGAAGGUUGGCUAAUCCUGGUCGGACAUCAGGAGGUUAGUGCAAUGGCAUAAGCCAGCUUGACUGCGAGCGUGACGGCGCGAGCAGGUGCGAAAGCAGGUCAUAGUGAUCCGGUGGUUCUGAAUGGAAGGGCCAUCGCUCAACGGAUAAAAGGUACUCCGGGGAUAACAGGCUGAUACCGCCCAAGAGUUCAUAUCGACGGCGGUGUUUGGCACCUCGAUGUCGGCUCAUCACAUCCUGGGGCUGAAGUAGGUCCCAAGGGUAUGGCUGUUCGCCAUUUAAAGUGGUACGCGAGCUGGGUUUAGAACGUCGUGAGACAGUUCGGUCCCUAUCUGCCGUGGGCGCUGGAGAACUGAGGGGGGCUGCUCCUAGUACGAGAGGACCGGAGUGGACGCAUCACUGGUGUUCGGGUUGUCAUGCCAAUGGCACUGCCCGGUAGCUAAAUGCGGAAGAGAUAAGUGCUGAAAGCAUCUAAGCACGAAACUUGCCCCGAGAUGAGUUCUCCCUGACCCUUUAAGGGUCCUGAAGGAACGUUGAAGACGACGACGUUGAUAGGCCGGGUGUGUAAGCGCAGCGAUGCGUUGAGCUAACCGGUACUAAUGAACCGUGAGGCUUAACCUU
Molecule: ribosomal RNA, 2903 nt
Filed under: Escherichia coli
Lineage: Bacteria; Pseudomonadati; Pseudomonadota; Gammaproteobacteria; Enterobacterales; Enterobacteriaceae
Description: 23S ribosomal RNA
Rfam family: Bacterial large subunit ribosomal RNA
Source: RNAcentral